UGGGGAAUGUUGGACAAUGGGGGAAACCCUGAUCCAGCGAUGCCGCGUGAAUGAAGAAGGCCUUAGGGUUGUAAAGUUCUUUCACCUGUGACGAUGAUGACGGUAACAGGAGAAGAAGCCCCGGCUAACUCCGUGCCAGCAGCCGCGGUAAGACGGAGGGGGCUAGCGUUGUUCGGAAUGACUGGGCGUAAAGGGCGCGUAGGCGGCUUAUCAAGUCAGGUGUGAAAGCCUUGGGCUUAACCCAAGAACUGCGCUUGAUACUGAUAGGCUUGAGGAUGAUAGAGGAAAGCGGAAUUCCUAGUGUAGAGGUGAAAUUCGUAGAUAUUAGGAAGAACACCAGAGGCGAAGGCGGCUUUCUGGAUCAUAUCUGACGCUGAGGCGCGAAAGCGUGGGGAGCAAA
Molecule: ribosomal RNA, 400 nt
Filed under: uncultured bacterium
Lineage: Bacteria
Description: bacterial SSU rRNA
Rfam family: Bacterial small subunit ribosomal RNA
Source: RNAcentral